UUGGGGAUGAGGUACCCGCCGACGUCCAUGUCCUCCGCCGCCUUGUGAGGUAGCAACAUGUGCGCCGGUGGGUGCUUCCGGAGGCCUUCGAGCACCACCGCCUUCAGCGCGGCGGACGUGCUGUCCGUGCCGGCUACGAGGAACUCGGAGCAGAGCAUAACCAGCUCGUCGUCGGUGAGCGCGCGGUUGCCGUCCUCCGGGAGGUUGAUGUCGAGCAGGUUGUCGACGUACGAGUGCGUGAACGUGGUCGCCUCCUUCUUCGGCUCGCCGCCGUUUUUCUUGUACUCCCGCCGGGAGUUGAUCAACGGCACGAACAACUCCUCCUUCCGCCGCCGGAGGGCCCUUCUGAAGACGCCCGCGGAAGAGGUGCCUGGUGAUCGCCGGGAAGAAGUUGAAGAUGCCCAUCUCGCUCGACAUGUAGAGCAUCGUGUCGCGCUCCGCCGCGCCGAUCGCGCGCACCGCGUCCUCAUCGAGCUGUUCGCCGAAGCACAUGAGCACCAGGAGGAAGGACAUGGCGUACUGGAACGUCUCCACGACGGAGCGUGGCGCCGCCGCCUCCGCCUCGCC
This 567-nucleotide long non-coding RNA is filed under the name Oryza sativa Indica Group (long-grained rice). RNAcentral's name for it is "lncRNA OsMH63_10G016990". Lineage: Eukaryota; Viridiplantae; Streptophyta; Magnoliopsida; Poales; Poaceae. The record is from RNAcentral.